GAUGAAUGCUGGCGGCGUGCCUAAUACAUGCAAGUCGAGCGGUAAGGCCCUUCGGGUACACGAGCGGCGGACGGCUGAGUAACGCGUGGGAACAUGCCCCAAAGUGAGGGAUAACGCACCGAAAGGUGUGCUAAUACCGCAUAUGGUCUUCGGAUUAAAGGAUUUAUCCGCUUUGGGAGUGGCCCGCGUACGAUUAGAUUGUUGGUGAGGUAACGGCUCACCAAGUCGACGAUCGUUAACUGGUCUGAGAGGAUGAUCAGUCAGACUGGAACUGAGACACGGUCCAGACUCCUACGGGAGGCAGCAGUAAGGAAUCUUCCACAAAUGGCGAAAGCCUGAUGGAGCAACGCCGCGUGCAGGAUGAAGGCCCUCGGGUCGUAAACUGCUUUUAUGAGUGAAGAAUAAUGACGGUAACUCAUGAAUAAGCACCGGCUAACUAACGUGCCAGCAGCCGCGGUAAU
This 461-nucleotide ribosomal RNA is filed under the name uncultured bacterium. RNAcentral describes it as "bacterial SSU rRNA". It matches the Rfam family "Bacterial small subunit ribosomal RNA", at positions 28 to 524 of the family's 1533-position model. The record is from RNAcentral.